RNAcentral lists this transfer-messenger RNA (353 nucleotides) under bacterium. Its description in RNAcentral is "UBA4882 sp002399265 Standard tmRNA". It matches the Rfam family "transfer-messenger RNA". Rfam says of the family: Bacterial tmRNA, also known as 10Sa RNA or SsrA, is named for its dual tRNA and mRNA-like properties. Its role is to liberate the mRNA from a stalled ribosome. RNAcentral also lists the same sequence under 1 other name. The record is from RNAcentral.
GGGGGCGUACUGGUUUCGACGGGGAGAAUGAGGUGCGCCGAAGCGAGCCGAGGUUGUCGCAGGCCUCGUUAAAUAGGCGGCAGCGUCAAUUAGACGCCAAUAAUAACUACGCUUACGCUGCUUAAAUAGCAGCCGUCCAAUCCGGCCUUAACCUGGGAGACCGGUGCGGGCGUCACUUAAACCAGGACGCUCUGCUGUCAAUUCUCGGAGACAGUAGCUAAGAUUAUCGAGAUAGCUGACGGAGACUUUGCCGUGGGAGGCUUCAGAGGCGAAAUUUAAAACACCGGCUGCGCUCGGAGAAACGGUUCACAACAUCUUUUCGGACAGGGGUUCGACUCCCCUCGCCUCCACCA